Long non-coding RNA from Lepisosteus oculatus (spotted gar), 657 nucleotides. RefSeq lists it as uncharacterized. The record is from RefSeq and is a predicted model, not a curated record. NCBI's taxonomy places the organism in Eukaryota, Metazoa, Chordata, Actinopteri, Semionotiformes, Lepisosteidae.
CUGUCCUACUGGACUGGAGCCCCCAGUGUAACAGACUGUCCUACUGGACCGGGACCACAGCCCCUAUAGUAACAGACUAUCCUACUGGACCGGGCCUGGAGCUCUUGUUGUAUCACCAUUAUUCAGCUACGCUGCUCCCCAAGGGCACCAAUAUUAAUGUGACUCAGUGCAGCAGCCUAUCCAGUAAUACAGAAAGUAAAUUCAGGUCAUUGCCGUGUUUGGAAAGCACAUGAUGUGGCCACGCAUGGCAGGAGCAGGGCUCAGCGUGGAGCAGGCUGGGAAGCUCUGGCCGCUCCGGGACCUCCCACAGAAACAGCUGGAAACCCGGGUCGUCCUGCCGGGCCAGAACCGGCACGAGUCCGGGGACUCCGGGCAUGUUGGUCCGGGAGCUCCCCACCCCAGUAAUCGUUUUAAAAGACACCUGUUCUUCUCCUUUCCGCCUGGAAUGAACCUGCACUCGUUCCUCUGCAGUUUUAGAGACUGGUCCGCCUUCUAACGGGCUUCGAAGACUGAAAGCGUCCAGCUGGCUUAUGGUUCGAAAGCUGUCGUUCGUGGACUUCGCAGGCAACAGGUGUCAAAAAAACUGAACGAAAUCUUCUCAACUUUAUCGCCAAAUUAAAAUAAAUGGAAAAACUCCUCGAGUCUACCUUAAAAUGA